RNAcentral lists this ribosomal RNA (567 nucleotides) under uncultured bacterium. Its description in RNAcentral is "partial 16S ribosomal RNA". It matches the Rfam family "Bacterial small subunit ribosomal RNA", at positions 355 to 914 of the family's 1533-position model. The record is from RNAcentral.
UGGGGAAUUUUGGACAAUGGGCGAAAGCCUGAUCCAGCAAUGCCGCGUGUGUGAAGAAGGCCUUCGGGUUGUAAAGCACUUUUGUCCGGAAAGAAAUCCUUGGCUCUAAUACAGUCGGGGGAUGACGGUACCGGAAGAAUAAGCACCGGCUAACUACGUGCCAGCAGCCGCGGUAAUACGUAGGGUGCAAGCGUUAAUCGGAAUUACUGGGCGUAAAGCGUGCGCAGGCGGUUUGCUAAGACCGAUGUGAAAUCCCCGGGCUCAACCUGGGAACUGCAUUGGUGACUGGCAGGCUAGAGUAUGGCAGAGGGGGGUUAGAAUUCCACGUGUAGCAGUGAAAUGCGUAGAGAUGUGGAGGAAUACCGAUGGCGAAGGCAGCCCCCUGGGCCAAUACUGACGCUCAUGCACGAAAGCGUGGGGAGCAAACAGGAUUAGAUACCCCUGGUAGUCCACGCCCUAAACGAUGUCAACUAGUUGUUGGGGAUUCAUUUCUUAGUAACGUAGCUAACGCGUGAAGUUGACCGCCUGGGGAGUACGGUCGCAAGAUUAAAACUUAAAUGAAUUGAC